GACGUAGGGCGCGAGCGUUGUCCGGAUUUAUUGGGCGUAAAGAGCUCGUAGGCGGCUCAUUGCGUCAACCGUGAAAUCCUGCUGCUCAACGGCAGGUCUGCGGUUGAUACGGGUGGGCUGGAGUUCGGUAGGGGAGACUGGAAUUCCUGGUGUAGCGGUGAAAUGCGCAGAUAUCCGGAGGAACACCGGUGGCGAAGGCGGCUUCCUGGACCGACACUGACGCUGAGGCGCGAAAGCUAGGGGAGCAAACGGG
Molecule: ribosomal RNA, 253 nt
Filed under: uncultured bacterium
Lineage: Bacteria
Description: partial 16S ribosomal RNA
Rfam family: Bacterial small subunit ribosomal RNA
Source: RNAcentral